RNAcentral lists this transfer RNA (72 nucleotides) under Nippostrongylus brasiliensis. It matches the Rfam family "tRNA". From Rfam's summary of the family: Transfer RNA (tRNA) molecules are approximately 80 nucleotides in length. Their secondary structure includes four short double-helical elements and three loops (D, anti-codon, and T loops). The record is from Rfam by way of RNAcentral. Lineage: Eukaryota; Metazoa; Nematoda; Chromadorea; Rhabditida; Heligmosomidae.
GUCUUAGUAGCGUAUAGUUAUUGUACGGCCCCUACUAGGCGACAGACGCGGGUUCGAAUCCCGCCUGAGAUG